CUAUGCUUCUCUCUCCUUCCCAUUACUGUUCUCUCUCCUCCUUCUGGACCUGCUGCUGGUUUCCUCAAACUAAGUCUUGGACCCUCUACUCUCAACCUGGGUCAGUUGUAGUUCUCUUCCAUUUCCUGACCUUCCCACCUAGACUCCCACUACUCACACUCCCCUGAGACCCUCCCCCACCCACACUCCCCUCAGACCCCCUCCCCUGGCUCUGGCUCAGCUCUGCCUUGCUCCUAGCCUGCCAGUGCAGCCACGAGGGGGCACUCAGCAGUCUCUGUGAAAAGACCAGUGGGCAAUGUCUCUGUCGAACUGGUGCCUUUGGGCUUCGCUGUGACCGCUGCCAGCGUGGCCAGUGGGGAUUCCCUAGCUGCCGGCCAUGUGUCUGCAAUGGGCAUGCAGAUGAGUGCAACACCCACACAGGCGCUUGCCUGGGCUGCCGUGAUCACACAGGGGGUGCAUUGCUGGUUUCCACGGGGACCCACGGCUGCCAUAUGGGGGCCAGUGCCGGCCCUGUCCCUGUCCUGAAGGCCCUGGGAGCCAACGGCACUUUGCUACUUCUUGCCACCAGGAUGAAUAUUCCCAGCAGAUUGUGUGCCACUGCCGGGCAGGCUAUACGGGGCUGCGAUGUGAAGCUUGUGCCCCUGGGCACUUUGGGGACCCAUCAAGGCCAGGUGGCCGGUGCCAACUGUGUGAGUGCAGUGGGAACAUUGACCCAAUGGAUCCUGAUGCCUG
This 732-nucleotide long non-coding RNA is filed under the name Homo sapiens (human). RNAcentral describes it as "non-protein coding lnc-USP19-2:1". Lineage: Eukaryota; Metazoa; Chordata; Mammalia; Primates; Hominidae. The record is from RNAcentral.